AUUGAACGCUGGCGGAAUGCUUUGCACAUGCAAGUCGAACGGCAGCACGGACUUCGGUCUGGUGGCGAGUGGCGAACGGGUGAGUAAUGUAUCGGAACGUGCCCAGUCGUGGGGGAUAACGUAGUGAAAAUUGCGCUAAUACCGCAUACGAUCUAUGGAUGAAAGCGGGGGAUCGCAAGACCUCGCGCGAUUGGAGCGGCCGAUAUCAGAUUAGGUAGUUGGUGGGGUAAAGGCCCACCAAGCCAACGAUCUGUAGCUGGUCUGAGAAGACGACCAGCCACACUGGGACUGAGACACGGGCCAGACUCCUACGGGAGGCAGCAGUGGGGAAUUUUGGACAAUGGGCGAAAGCCGGAUCCAGCCAUUCCGCGUGCAGGAUGAAGGCCCUCGGGUUGUAAACUGCUUUUGUACAGAACGAAAAGGUUUCUACUAAUACUAGGAGCUCAUGACGGUACUGUAAGAAUAAGCACCGGCUAACUACGUGCCAGCAGCCGCGGUAA
Molecule: ribosomal RNA, 500 nt
Filed under: uncultured bacterium
Lineage: Bacteria
Description: partial 16S ribosomal RNA
Rfam family: Bacterial small subunit ribosomal RNA
Source: RNAcentral